RNAcentral lists this ribosomal RNA (497 nucleotides) under uncultured bacterium. RNAcentral's name for it is "partial 16S ribosomal RNA". It matches the Rfam family "Bacterial small subunit ribosomal RNA", at positions 28 to 507 of the family's 1533-position model. The record is from RNAcentral.
GAUGAACGCUGGCGGCGUGCCUAAUACAUGCAAGUCGAGCGAACAGACGAGGAGCUUGCUCCUCUGACGUUAGCGGCGGACGGGGGAGUAACACGUGGAUAACCUACCUAUAAGACUGGGAUAACUUCGGGAAACCGGAGCUAAUACCGGAUAAUAUAUUGAACCGCAUGGUUCAAUAGUGAAAGACGGUUUUGCUGUCACUUAUAGAUGGAUCCGCGCCGCAUUAGCUAGUUGGUAAGGUAACGGCUUACCAAGGCAACGAUGCGUAGCCGACCUGAGAGGGUGAUCGGCCACACUGGAACUGAGACACGGUCCAGACUCCUACGGGAGGCAGCAGUAGGGAAUCGUCCGCAAUGGGAGAAAGCCUGACGGAGCAACGCCGCGUGAGUGAUGAAGGUCUUCGGAUCGUAAAACUCUGUUAUUAGGGAAGAACAAAUGUGUAAGUAACUAUGCACGUCUUGACGGUACCUAAUCAGAAAGCCACGGCUAACUACGUG